AGGUCAAAGGCAACUAGUCUAGGUUAGCUCAAAUACUUUGAUCUAAACCAAUUUAGGAAUUGGGGUUAAUACAAUAUGCUAGCAUAUCUAAUUAACCCAUAAAAUUUAUAUUAAACUCUAAUUAGAUCAGACCAAGAUCAAAUCCUAAAGUGUGUGAUCCAUUGGGUUCCAUAUUUAGCCAGCAGUGGAUCAAGACUUUCGAUGUAACCUUAAUCCGAUGAGAUUAGAUCACCUAAAGAGUCCACCCGA
RNAcentral lists this long non-coding RNA (249 nucleotides) under Elaeis guineensis (African oil palm). Its description in RNAcentral is "long non-coding RNA (EGUI_LNC067920)". Lineage: Eukaryota; Viridiplantae; Streptophyta; Magnoliopsida; Arecales; Arecaceae. The record is from RNAcentral.